UAAAAUUACAACUAGAAUAUAAUUUAUUAGGUUGCACUUACAGACACGAAGAGAGUCUAGAGCAUAUCUCCACACAAGGUGGAACUCGGCGAUGUAGUGGGUCUAGGAAAACCAACUUCAACACCGGAGAGAUAUGUAAAAAAAAGAAGAUAAAACAAAAUCAAAUUAAAAGUCCAUAAAAGUUUGAUGAAAUAACAAUCCAACACGUUUCGUCCAAUGUGAGACUUCCUCAGGGAUCUGGUAGUUCUUCAUGUUGCAUGUUUCUUGUAAUGCUGGAAAUCUUCAAGAAUCCGUUUCACCUUAUGUCGUGUGUUCCACUGUGGAACGCAAAAGAUGCACUACCUGUGCGUCCGGGGAAAGUGCUGAUGACGUAGUCGUUCAUACGGAGGUAGCUUGCAAAUGGAUAAAGGAGCCAUAAUCAUAGCACGUGUGCAUGUUGGGAGAAACAUGCGCACACACAUACAAUCACACAAAAUCUAUAUGAAAGGGAGAAGACAAAAUAGGCGAACAGUCGCCUUGAAAACAAACAGUCUGAUUGAAAAUAGACAUUACAGACCUCAUUGAUAUACUAUGCUGUCGGGAAUAUCAAAGAAUAACAGUGAAAUAUACUCUUGUGUAUAUAAAAAGUGUAUAAUUAAAUAGAAAAAAAUAUACAUAAAUAAUGAAUCUAAAAAUAAAAAGGGAAAAAUAUAUAUUAAUAAAAAUUUAUGAUGACC
Pelobates cultripes (western spadefoot toad) is the source of this 716-nucleotide non-coding RNA. The record is from the annotation of a GenBank genome assembly. NCBI's taxonomy places the organism in Eukaryota, Metazoa, Chordata, Amphibia, Anura, Pelobatidae.